GAUGAACGCUGGCGGCGUGCCUAAUACAUGCAAGUCGAGCGAACAGACGAGGAGCUUGCUCCUCUGACGUUAGCGGCGGACGGGUGAGUAACACGUGGAUAACCUACCUAUAAGACUGGGAUAACUUUGGGAAACCGGAGCUAAUACCGGAUAAUAUAUUGAACCGCAUGGUUCAAUAGUGAAAGACGGUUUUGCUGUCACUUAUAGAUGGAUCCGCGCCGCAUUAGCUAGUUGGUAAGGUAACGGCUUACCAAGGCGACGAUGCGUAGCCGACCUGAGAGGGUGAUCGGCCACACUGGAACUGAGACACGGUCCAGACUCCUACGGGAGGCAGCAGUAGGGAAUCUUCCGCAAUGGGCGAAAGCCUGACGGAGCAACGCCGCGUGAGUGAUGAAGGUCUUCGGAUCGUAAAACUCUGUUAUUAGGGAAGAACAAAUGUGUAAGUAACUAUGCACGUCUUGACGGUACCUAAUCAGAAAGCCACGGCUAACUACG
Molecule: ribosomal RNA, 495 nt
Filed under: uncultured bacterium
Lineage: Bacteria
Description: partial 16S ribosomal RNA
Rfam family: Bacterial small subunit ribosomal RNA
Source: RNAcentral